Molecule: long non-coding RNA, 1762 nt
Filed under: Homo sapiens (human)
Lineage: Eukaryota; Metazoa; Chordata; Mammalia; Primates; Hominidae
Description: HSALNT0345076
Source: RNAcentral
CAUUCCACAAACAUUUCUAAGUGUCCAUGGUGACCCAGACAUCAUGGGAACUUCAGGGUUCCAGAGCUGAGUAGAACACAACUCCCAUCCUUAGGGAUUCACCAUCCAGUAGAGGAGAAAGACGUCGAGACAGAAGACAGAAGGGAAAGGAAAAGCUCAAUGCUGUGCCUUCAACUUAGCUUCUCCAUUUUUUGGAGAAGGGUUAAUAGGGGAAGCAGAGAGAGAGAGAUGAGAGACCAAAGUUUCUAGGGCCUUUAUCUCCAGAGCAGAGGGUCUGAAACCUUAGUGAGCAAAAACUGAUCCGGAAGACUUGUUGGAGGCAUACCUUCCAGUUCAGCGAGCCAUUUCAGCAGAUUGGAGGUGGGCCCAGGGCUCUGCAUUUUCCCAGCUCUCUGGGGGAUCUAGAUGCAGGUAGUCUGUCAUCACAAGGGGAUGCUGCUCUUCCACAGUGGGCCUGGAGAACCAGAACUGGCAACUGCCUGGCCCCAGAGCUGCCAGCCAUGAGGCGGGUCCACCAGAGACUGAUGGAGGAAAGAGGAAAGGGAACAGGGAACCUCAGAGAGGAUUAGGGUGGGAAAUGGAAAAAGAGAAAAUCCAAGGAGUGCAAAAGAGAAAAGGGAGGCCUCUCUAAGGAGGACAGCGAGUAUUAGCGGAGGUGCUAGGGCCACUCAGGGUGACUGAUGUCCAUGUGUUAGCCACGGACAUUGAAAGAUUUUUGGUCUUUCAAACUCGAGGACUUGCCUAACCAAGCACAGAGCAAAGAACAGAAAGCUGACUUUGCUAGAUGCUUGGGCAUCAAUAUCACGUGGAACCAGCCUUUUCUUUGAUACCUCUUGCGUUUCUUGCAGAUCCCCUGCCUGCAGCACGUGCUGAUCUCCAAGGGUGAGGCUGGAUGAAGCCAGGGGCUAUGGAAAGGGAGACUGUUUCAGAGGACUUGACACCAUCUUCAGUAAUUUCUCUGGUUCUUGGCAGCUCCAUUUGGCUGCGUCCCUACCCUGCAUAACCCUCCCAGCUAGUCUACUCCAGGGCAGCAUCCAGCUGGUGACCUGAGAGGGCAGUGGCGCACCAGUCUCCAUGAAGGUUGAGCUCCGAUGGCCAACAGCCAUUUCCACCUUGUGGUCUACAACUCUUCAUCCCGACUGCAUGGAGGUUGGUCUCUCUCUUCAGCUGGAUUUAGGCCACCAUCUGAGCCCCCGGGGUACGUUUUGUCUGACCCUGGCGCCAUUCGAACGGUUCUUCUACAGCAUCAGUUCUCUUUCCUGCCACCAUGUGAAGAAGGACAUGUUUGCUUCCCCUUCUGCCAUGAAUGGACAGGGUCCUGCUGUGUUGCCCAGGCUGGCCUUGAACUCCUGGCUUCAAACAGUCUUCCCACUUGGGCUCCCAAAGUGCUGGGAUUAAAGGGGCGAGUUACAGCACCAGGACCUGAAAUGCAUCAUGUGUCAUUCUCACAGCUGUUAGGACUUCAAUGAUGUUAUAAGGAAGUUGGGGCUCAGAGAAGCUACAGAACUUACCCAAGGACACACAGCCAUCACGAAAAACAUGGCCAGCAAAGCAGGUGAGGCAAAGAUCAGGAAGGACAUUAAACGCCAAACUAAGGAGCGGAACUGAAUGAGCAGUGAAGGGGAACAAUGGCUUCAGCAGGUCCACUGGGCUCCUCUUUUCUGUCAGCCUCCCCCUACCCCUCACCUCUGUACUACUCAUGUUACUAUCUACGUCUCUUCACCAAUGUCAUUGUGGAAAUAAAAGCUUAUCUGUAAGAGUA